Eucalyptus grandis is the source of this 798-nucleotide RNA transcript. RefSeq lists it as uncharacterized. The record is from RefSeq and is a predicted model, not a curated record. NCBI's taxonomy places the organism in Eukaryota, Viridiplantae, Streptophyta, Magnoliopsida, Myrtales, Myrtaceae. The transcript has 2 exons.
AUGGCUUCACCAAACCUGAAAUCCCACUUUCACGCUCGCUCGGUGAGCUUGCCUUUGAAGCCAAACCGGCUCAUUCCUCAAGCAGAGGAGCACUUGAGGAGGAUCAGGAGCUCAGAAGCCACCACAUGUUCAUUUUCAUUGGUGAGCAACACGAUAAGCAGUGUCGUGGACUUCUAUGACUCUGUCGAAGACUUGCUUCUCUUUUCAGAUACCCAACAUGCCUUAGUUCAAGAGGGCCACGAUGAGGUGCUCGAGAGAUCCCUCAGUCUCCUGGACUUGUGCUGUGCCGUAAAAGAUGUCAUAGCACAGACGAAGGAAAACAUGCAGGAACUACAAUCCACAUUGUGUAGGAGACGGGGCGAUGACCUGGCACUGAGAAACUGGGUCGAGACAUACUUGACCUUAAGGAAGAAAGCAAAGAAGACAAUUCAAAGCUGCUUGAAAAAUCUAAAGAUCAAAUCCACCUUUUCUUCUGCGGAUCGAAGCAGUAUGACAACAGUUUCCAUGUUAAGAGAAGUGGAGGAAGUCGCUCUCAGCUGCUCUUUCUUUGGCAAGUUGAUGCAUUCCAAGCGAGUGGCAGCUGAUGAGAGGGCAUCUAACGGUGAGCUGGAGGAGGUGGAUUCAGCCGUUCACACCCUGCUAAGCCACAAAAAUGGAAAACCCAUCCAAAUGGAAUACUUGCAGAAAAUACUGGGAGAGGUCGAGUCCAGCAUUCAGGACCUCGAAGAAGAAGUCGAGCGCCUGAUCAGGCACCUGAUCAAAACCCGAGUGUCCCUCCUCAAUAUCCUCAACCACUAG